AUUAAUACCUGAUGGUGUUUGAAUUCCGCAUGUUAUUCAAACUAAAGAUUUAUCGGGUAACGGAUGGGGAUGCGUGACAUUAGAUAGUAGGCGGGGUAACGCCCACCUAGUCUACGAUGUCUAGGGGUUCUGAGAGGAAGGUCCCCCACACUGGAACUGAGACACGGUCCAGACUCCUACGGGAGGCAGCAGUGAGGAAUAUUGGUCAAUGGUCGGAAGACUGAACCAGCCAAGUAGCGUGAAGGAUGAAGGUUCUAUGGAUUGUAAACUUCUUUUAUACGGGAAUAAAACCUCCCACGUGUGGGAGCUUGUAUGUACCGUAUGAAUAAGCAUCGGCUAACUCCGUG
RNAcentral lists this ribosomal RNA (347 nucleotides) under uncultured bacterium. RNAcentral's name for it is "bacterial SSU rRNA". It matches the Rfam family "Bacterial small subunit ribosomal RNA", at positions 162 to 507 of the family's 1533-position model. The record is from RNAcentral.